This 675-nucleotide long non-coding RNA is filed under the name Coffea arabica (coffee). RNAcentral's name for it is "long non-coding RNA (CARA_LNC003739)". The record is from RNAcentral. Lineage: Eukaryota; Viridiplantae; Streptophyta; Magnoliopsida; Gentianales; Rubiaceae.
CAGGGGCAGAAUUGGAAACUUUACAUCCAUGCACUCCUUGAAGUUUAUACUAGCUAUGCACCAUUAAUCUACCAAUUUGAGCACUAAACCAAUAUUAAAUCCAUCAUCAAAUAUCACAUCAGCCAUCAAUCUAAGAGUGGGAGUUGAUAGAGCCCACAUUCAAAAUUUUGCAACAAUAACAAGCCACCCACAUGAAUAUCUAAGCUCAUAAGUGUAAAUCAACUUCCAUAGGCCAAGAAUUUGAGGGUUGAUCGUCACGUACUUGUGUUGGUGAACAAGGGCAGAAUUUUGGCCCUCUCUUAGCUCAAGAAAACCGUGAAAAGCUCCCCCUUUUGUAGUUUAAGAUGAUCUCAAAGUAUUAAGCUAAGUUUGUGUGAAAUUUGGAAGGAAUUGGAGAUGAUUUGUGCAAGAUUUAGAGAUGAAAAAUGAAGAACUCCUUGGGUUAUUUUUGCAGCUGAUGGCCGGCCACUUUGUGAGGAAGAGAGAGAGUGUUUUGAUCUAAUUUGCCUUCCUAAGGAAGCUUCAUUUGUGUGGCUAGAAUUGGUGCUGUAGACACCAAAAAUUUUAGUGUUUUCAGUUUGUUAGUUUUAUUCACCUUUUUAGUUUUUAGUUUUUUAGUUUUUCAUGUUUUAGCAUAGAUUUUCUCAAAAAGCAAAAAAAAAAGAGAAAAAAAGA